AACACGUGGGGAACCUGCCCCAUAGUCUGGGAUACCACUUGGAAACAGGUGCUAAUACCGGAUAAGAAAGCGGAUCGCAUGAUCAGCUUUUAAAAGGCGGCGUAAGCUGUCGCUAUGGGAUGGCCCCGCGGUGCAUUAGCUAGUUGGUAAGGUAAAGGCUUACCAAGGCGAUGAUGCAUAGCCGAGUUGAGAGACUGAUCGGCCACAUUGGGACUGAGACACGGCCCAAACUCCUACGGGAGGCAGCAGGG
This 251-nucleotide ribosomal RNA is filed under the name uncultured Lactobacillus sp. Its description in RNAcentral is "partial 16S ribosomal RNA". It matches the Rfam family "Bacterial small subunit ribosomal RNA", at positions 112 to 354 of the family's 1533-position model. Lineage: Bacteria; Bacillati; Bacillota; Bacilli; Lactobacillales; Lactobacillaceae. The record is from RNAcentral.